RNAcentral lists this ribosomal RNA (321 nucleotides) under uncultured Oxalobacteraceae bacterium. RNAcentral's name for it is "bacterial SSU rRNA". It matches the Rfam family "Bacterial small subunit ribosomal RNA", at positions 1 to 327 of the family's 1533-position model. The record is from RNAcentral. Lineage: Bacteria; Pseudomonadati; Pseudomonadota; Betaproteobacteria; Burkholderiales; Oxalobacteraceae.
UAGUGAGUUUGAUCCUGGCUCAGAUUGAACGCUGGCGGCAUGCUUUACACAUGCAAGUCGAACGGCAGCGCGGGGCAACCUGGCGGCGAGUGGCGAACGGGUGAGUAAUAUAUCGGAACGUACCCAAGAGUGGGGGAUAACGUAGCGAAAGUUACGCUAAUACCGCAUACGAUCUAAGGAUGAAAGUGGGGGAUUCGCAAGAACCUCAUGCUCCUGGAGCGGCCGAUAUCUGAUUAGCUAGUUGGUGAGGUAAAGGCUCACCAAGGCCACGAUCAGUAGCUGGUCUGAGAGGACGACCAGCCACACUGGGGACUGAGACAC